GUCUGUAGACUGUCAGUAUGUCCAUGAGGUGAUUUCCUGGUUUGGAAGUUUACUUUGCAGUUUUGUGGGAGAAUAUCCUUAUAAGGGGUCUGUGUAUGUCUGACGUAUUUAGUAGUGAAGAGACAGUCCUUCUGCAACUUGCUAUUAUUUAGCUCUGAGAAAACAAUUAACUAGAAAAUCCUGGUAUCCCUUGAGUAGGCAUGCAGGGUACCUAGGAUUCAGUUCGUGAUAUUGAUGUGCACUAAGAACCUUCCAGCCUUGCGUUAGCCAUGGGUUUCUCUCAACUUGACUCCUCACUUUUCCCGUGGGAUGACUUGGCCUGUUGAACCAGUGGCUCGUUGAAGGAGGAAAGACGACUUUGCCGCAUCCCUCUCCCAGUGCACAGUAUCUUGAAUCUGUUCCUCUGUUAUCACACAGUUCUCCAGACUUGGAGUAGACAGCUGGGAGCAAAGCAAGAUUCUUGCAUGCCUAGGAGAAUGGGAGAAAAGAGAAUUUGAAAGUUUCAGAUCGUGUCCAGUUAACCACCCAUGUUCCAAAGAGAGAAGCAGCAGUAGAUUAGGAGAGGAUGAUUUACUUCACACGAGGUGCCGGUCUAUGCCAGAGUCAACUGCUACAAAACUCCAAAGGGCGAAGGAUUUGAAUGAUACUUGGGGAUCAGUUGUUGGUAGCAGGAAGAAGGGGGUGUAGGUACAAUAGCUCAGACAGGAUGGUGUUUGAUGUGCUCAGGAGCCAUAGUGAGCUCCUCGAAGGUGGAGAGGGAUGAGCGGUGAAGACAGUGAAAGAAUGGAUUCCAAGCAAUGGUGGGAAGAUCCUACGUGGCCUUGCAAGUUUAAUCUGGGUGAGAGGAAGAUUCCUGAAAGAUCUCUGAACAGAAAAGUAUGUUAUUAUAUGAGAACACCAAAGCUUUAUUCUAACAAUACUGGAGGAAUUGUAGAAGCAAGGAGAGCACUUAGGGAGCUACAAAAAUAAUCUGGGGGAGUUGCCAAGAGAGACUCAUGCUGGGAGAGUGGCAGAACAUGCUCAGGAGUGAUUGGCUCCGUGGAGAGCUCCGAGGAUCAGGCACUGUUCUCUGAUGCAUUUGAUGAGGGUGGGAAGGAAAACACAGAAGUCAGGAAGCAGCUGGUAUAGAGAGACUCUCUUAGAAGCAUCACCUGUCAAUAAAAAGUCUUUGGCCAAUGAGCUGAGGCAAGAAAUAGGAAGUUGGACACUGGCAGGGAGACAGAGGAUUCUGGGAAACAGGGAGAGAAUAAAAAGAGAUGUGAGGGGGAUGCUCAGAAAGAAGCUGAGGAUGAAGCAGCCUGGGACUGAAGAAGAGGUAGGACACAGAAUAGUGUGAGUGGGUUAAAUAUGUUAUGAGCUAGUUGGUGAAUGAGCCAGUUUAUGGCCUCUAUCCAGAGGCCAUUAUUAGUAAAUAAUUAGACCCAGAAUCAUCAUUCAAGUAGCAGGGACCAGGGAAGGGGAAAAAUUGAUUGAUUGAUUGAUUGAUUGAUUGAUUGAUUGAUUGAUUUUUUACAAGCGGGAGUUAUCAUUUUGUAAGAUGAGUGAUAUCAAGAGGAGCUUUGGGGUGAAGAAUGAACAGAAUUAGAUAUAUUCGGUUUUAGGUGCCUGCGGUUACCAAGAUGGCAAUCUGAUACAAUUUGCCGCAGUAUUAGGUUACAGAAGAGAGAAUGUUCGGUCAGAGUCUGUGAAGAACUUUUGUCAUUGUCACACUAAUAAGAUUGCCAAAUUGCGUUUUUCAGGUUGGCUUCAUGAAGCACUAAAGAGGGCUCUUAAAGAAAUUCUUAAAAUAACAAUGACAAGUCCCCUCCAGUCGGGAGGAUUCUCUAGCAGUACGAGUUUCUGUGGGACUCCUUGGUGGAAGGAACAGGUUUGCAGGAUGUUUGGGUCUGAGUCAGAAACAAAGAGCAGCCAUGACGAGGAAUGGCAGAGCCUCGGUUCUCUGAGUACCAGCCAAAUGGACUUUCUGUAGAUACUUUCCACCUUAACAUCCAUACUGGGUCUCACCACCACUGUAUCCAACAUGCUCAAAGAGACUCUGACCUUAGACAUUUUACAAAGUGAGUUGUGUCACUUAGAAAUACAAUUUAUUAUGGCUUGACGUACAUCCUUAAUAGUUUAAUAGGAGUCUUAUGGAUAGAAGUUUCAAUGUCUGGGUUUCUUUUGCCUUACAUUUUUUUAAAGUUUAUGUUGAUUGGUCAGUCCCACUUAACAAAAUGGAAGAUCACUCAUUAGCAUGUACCUUUUUACUAUAAUAAACUCUCAGGUAACUUGAUCUGCCUGAAAACAAAAGAAAUCUUUCAAAACAUAUUCUAUGAGACUGGGAAAGGGGAAAAUCGAUCAAGUACUACAGAGCACUGUUGGGAAACCUAAAGCAUUAAGGCUGCCCUGACUAGUUUUAAAGUUGGCUUCCUAUGAAUGGCUACACUAUGUCAUUGUGAUUUGUUGUGUCCUGAGCUAGAGAUCGUCCCCUUUGUUCUGGCAUCCAUAUUUACUCAAAGGGGAAAUUCAGUGAUGCAGGGGGAAAGACCAAAUUCUAGCAUCAGAUAAAUCACAAUUAGAAUCCCAGGCACCCUACAGCCAAUUUUGCUUGUGCUGAACCACAAAUGUCCUAUUAAAACUGAAGGGAUUAACACUUUCUACGAAGACCUGAAAACUUCUAAAAGACAGUGUAUGUUAGACCCAUGGAAGUGUAAGGGAGAUAUUAAGAAGAGGUCAGAGUGGGGAUCGGGGAGAUCUAAAAAAAUCAACACCCCAAACUAAAGAAUGCCAAUUUACUCAUGUAUGUGUACACAUGACCUACUUAUAAUGAGGUUGUUAUCCUCUAAGUUUACUUUAAAACAAAAACACUGUUAAAACAAAAAGCCAUUUGAUAUAUCUAGCCUAACUGACUAGUUUAAUGACAUAGUGCAGUACAAAAUAUGGGUGCUUCAACCUGGUGACAUCAUGGCUGACCCUAACCUGGAGCUUGCUGUGAUCUCUCUUCAGGAGCACACACUACACGCUCCUUGCCUAUGAAAGACCAGAAUUCAAAAUAUCAUACACAAUAACACACAAUACUGGUAGUUCACAACCAUAAAGCAAAGCCUUUGAAAAUUGGGCCAUCCUAAGUUGGCCUCUCAGGGGACAGUCACCUCUCUUUUUUUUAGGCAGCCUGCUCUUAUGGGCUUCUAGAUGAUUUUGAGAUGAUCCUGUCUAUCAAGGACUUACCAGCAGAUAGAAUAAUCCAAAUUAAUGUUGAAUGUCAGUUUUUCAGAUCUAAAACCAUACUUACCAGAUUAGUACAGUAAGAGUAAUAAUUCUGUGUGUAAAUAGAAAAAUAAGCAGGAGUGUUCAAAUUAGAUUGAUUCCAUUUCACACCUUUAGUGAUGAUAAUUUCAGAGGAACUUGUUCAUAGAACUCAGCAAGGCUGGGUUUCCUAGUAGUGCUUAGGGGCCAAGCAUCUGCUAUGGUGCCUGGCUUAUAGUAGGCUUUGGUAAGUGUUGAAUGUUACAUAUUUACAAGGAACUGAGAUUUCUGAGGACUGGACAGUAGACAGGCGCUGUUGUUCUAAGCACCUAUAUAGGCUGUCUUGCUUAAUGCUAAGAAAGCGUUUGUCCGGCUGGAGAGAUGGCUCAGCCGUUAAAGGCUAGGCUCACAACCAAAAAUAAAAGAAAGCAUUUGUUACUCCCGUUACACACAAGAUAAGGUAACAUGAACUAAAAGAAGUAGAGUGGUUUCCCUGAGGUCAUACAACUGGUAUAUUUGGGAGUGGGACUUUCUUUCCAGAAACCUAGCUUGGGGCUAUGGUUUUAAGGACCAUUCCAUUGCUCCACAGGCACGUGUCUCUGGUGUUUCCCAGUUUCUUAAUUUUGCUGUGAUUUAUAACUUCACUUCCUUUGCCACUGGCUAAUUGUCUUUUCCUAUUUUUAGGCUGAGACGCUUACCUCAUUUUCUCUUUAAGGGAAAUUGAUGGUUUUCAUAGGUGGUUUCUUACCACCUAGCAACUUCUUUGACUCCUGAGACAAGCACACUGGAUACAAAAGGAAGGCCCCAGAAGAGUUCUUUUGGAGCAGAACAUGAUGCCAAUACUAUGCUUGUUUUCCCCCUUCGUUCUUUUAUUAACUUCUCAAAUUACGGAACAGUAGACCUGCUAAAAUUGCUACUUUUAUGUUUUGUAGCUUUGGCUUAUCAAAUGCUUCUUUCUGUUACAGUCCUUGAUACAUUGUUGAGGUUUCAUUUGGGCUUCUUUGCUCCUACCAGAAACCUUCCAAACAACUUCGCAUCACAGAUAUGUUUCAAGAGACUAGAUACAGAAAGUAAACUUAGGAUAAUUCUUUUUGGGACUUGAGCCAAAACCAAAGGAAAGGCCUUGACCGCAAUACAUCCUUUUCCUUUAAAUUUUUUCACAUGGAUGUGUCUUAUUUUUGUAAGUCUAAGUCACUGCUUUUCCUUGGAUAUAUUUAAAAACUGGCUGAUUCUCCCAUAUUCUUUGUAGGACCAGCUCGUCCUUCCUCACCAGAAGGUUGGAAUGGGGGAGGGCAUAUCUGUAAGUCAAGACACAGCAUUUCACACACUGGCUCAGCAUGGCAGCUGUUGGGGGUAGCUAUUGAAGUAUCUUCAAACUUUGUCAGAAUUGCCAGAGGGGAAAGACUCCCGGCCCUCUCCCUGCCCUUUCUAGUUGGCUGCUUAGAAAGAUGUUACUUAGAACUAAUUUUCAUUUUACAGAGAAUUCGCAUCCCACAAGGCUGAUAAAGAGGCAUGGAACACAGUCAAGGGAGAGAUAGCCUUCCACUGAAAACCAGCUGUAUUGGUGCUCUGUUCCUGUUGCCGGUGUUUGGAUGACAGAUGUUAACGACAAUUUCCUUCCUCCAUCAUCAUCAUCAUCAUCAUCAUCAUCAUCAUCAUCAUCAUCAUCAUCAUCAUCAUCCAGGAUGACUCCCUAUGAAAUCAAAAUGGAUCCGCAGAGGGUACUUGGAAUUUGUGGUGGAGGAAACUGUCCACUCAGCCCAUUGAUAUGAGAAGAAAUCUUUCCUUGUUGGCAAGGUGUGCAAGAACGGAAAGUGUGAGAAAGAAAGCCCCAGUGUAGUGGUUUGAAUGUAAUUGGCUGCCCUGGGCCCAUGAGGAGAGGCACCAUUAGGAGGUAUGGCCUUGUUGGAGUGGGUGUGGCCUUAUUGGUGUGGGUGUGGCCUUGAAGUGGGUGUGGCCUUGUUGGAAUAGGUGUGGCUUUGGAGGAAGAGUGUCAUGGUGGAGGCAGGCCUUGAGUUCUUAUAUAUGCUUAUGCCACACCCAGUGGGACAGUCUCCUGCUGCUGCCUGUGGAUCAAGACGUAGAACUCUCUCAGAUCUUCUAGCACCAUGUCUGCCUGCACUGCCAUGCUUGAUAAUGGACUAAACCUCUGAACUAUAAGCCAGAGCCAAUUAAAUGUCUUCAUUAUAAGAGUUGCUUUGGUCAUGGUGUCUCUUCACAGCAAUGGGGACCCCAACUAAGACACCCAACAAGGAUGGAAAGUCAUCGGCACCCCUCGGGUCACUGGGGGGGUAAAAGAGAUGGCAGCUUCCUCUUAUCUAAUAGUAGCUGUAGCAGUGUCAAAGAUGGCAGGACUGAGCUCAUCAGUUUUACUUCAGAUGUGAGGGGGUAGGCUUCAUAUUGGCGCCCUCAGGCGUUAUUCUAGUUGAUUCAACUUCCCACAUGUUUUUGCCGAUUUCAUAUCUCUUGUCUUUCUUCCCUAAAAGGAAGACGUAAAUUGUCCUCAUACCGGUCUCCAUCGUGUAGUAAAUGACAUUGUUGCCAUUCAUGUUCUCAAGCUUGGGGGUCCUUUCAUUUUCUUCAUAUACACUCCUGGGCCCUACCCCACCUGCAAACAGCUAAUUGAGCCAUUGGUUAUUCGACCUCCAUAAUAAAUUCCAUAUGUGUCCUUGGGAGUUUCUCUGACUGGACCUUGGGCUUUUUCUUUCACAAGUAUUCACCCAGCAGUUAAAACAAAAUUCUCAAAAUUUAAGUCCCUAGUCACACUUAACGAGUCCAUAUGUGGCUUAAGUUUUCUGCCUGCUGAGAGCUUGUGUCCCCUCAGGGUAUUAAUAUAUAUCACUAACAAACCAAGUCUGGGUUCCAAUCUAGAUUGAAAUGCAGCUUUGGUCAUUUAAGAGAGUGCCUUCUAUUGUGUGUGACCUAUGCCUGAAACAAUUAGUAUGGGUGUCCAAAGGGAACAUAAUACUGUUGUGGGGUACCAACAAGAGACGACAUCCUGAAUGAUACUUUCAUCAUGAAGUGAGUUGUGCUAAGGUCUUGGGCCUACCAAGGUCUGGGGCCCUGUUAUAAUAGAAAGUAGGCCAAUAGAAAAAUAAAAAAAAUGAAAUUAGUUUACAAUAGUAGAAAGAAAAUGUGGUCAUCACAUUUAUUUAUUUACCAUUUAUUCUUCUUGAGAGCUGAAUUUGUUUGGAAUUUCCUAAUUAGACUUAAAGUGACAUAUAUUGGAUUAAACAGCUUUUUCCUUUGUUUCAUGACAGAAAUGGAGGUGUUUUGCAUUAUUGCUAUAUAUCUGGGGGAUUGAAAUAUAAUGAAGUAGAAAUAUUUCUGAUAACAAAUUAAAGAUCCAAAGUCAUAAAAAAACCCUUUACAAUAUUCGUUGUGAUUAUUAUCUUAAAAUAACAAUCGAUUUCUCUAACUAUAUAUUUACAAAAAGCACCAUCACAUGUUCAGAAAUUCUUUGAUGUAAGCUGUGGCCCUCUGGGAACAGAGAACCUCAAUUGAGAAAAUGCCUUCGUCAGAUUAGCCUGUGGGCAAGUCCAAGUAGAAUGGUGGCCUCUGUGUAUUGAGCACGAAGUAAAGAGUAGCUGUUACUGCUACAGCUUUGUGCCAUGCCUCCUGUUAGUGUCACGUCUCCUGUUAGUGCCACGUCUACCAUUAGUGCCAUGUUACUGUUAGUGUCAUGUCUACUUCUCACCAUUAAAUGAAGACCCAAAAGGAUGAAGUGAUGUCUGAUGGGAACGGUUCAUAAGGACCCCCCCCCCCACUAUAGGGCUUCAUAACAAGGCAAUAGGAACAUGUCAUGAUGGGUAUAUGCACAUAUGUGUGAGUUUCUCUGUGUCUUUCUUCCUUCCUGAAUAUAGAAGUGAUUGUGAGACCAUUUAAAAGUAUAAAGCCAAAUACAGGCAUGUGACUGACUUAGAAUGCACAGCUGGCUAGAUUGCAGUUUUCUAGUUAGUUCUCUUUAGUAGUCAAUUCUAGUCUUCUAACCUCAGAUUUAUAGGAGUUGGAAGUUGUAAGAAGUUGAGGUUUUUCAAUCAGGUAACGAUCUUAAGGUUUAGAUUAGAGCAAACAAACAUUCCUAACCCUAGCUACUUUCUAGUUUCCUCUGGGUGGUCUUGAUUUCUUAUAUAAGACCUGCAGAGACUUGGAUUCUGCUGGACUGGGACCUGAGGUAAUGAUAACUUUUCAUGAUGUAGCCCUGGCUAACCUGGACCGGGCUGGUCUUGAUCUCACUGAGAUCUACCUGCCCCUGCUUCUCAAGUGAUGGGGUGAAAUGUAUGUGCAAAUAUGCCUCAAAGUGAUAGUUCUAAAAACAACUCAGGAUUUCUAAUAAAUGGUCAUGUGCAUGUUUUUAAGGCCGAUCACUUGGUUUUAUAUUGGAUAACCCAUCAGGGUCUCAUCCCUGUAGAAAACUGAUUCUUCCUCUCACAGCAGCCAUAGCUCUUCAUUUAGGGGCGAGGCCUCGUAAAAUUUCUCACAUAUAUGUUAGAAUAUCAACUGGUGCUGUCAUUGUAAACGUAUUGUUUAGGUGGCCAAACUUUUUGAAACUUUAUGGACACAGCAUUCCUCAUAUCAAAAAGUCAUUAUCUCACAGCAAGUGUCCUGGUCCUCUGAGCUUAGAACCACUCUAUCUCCUCUUGUGCUAUGCUCUUCGAGUCUUUGAUGUAGGAGUUGUGUUAUGGAUGUACAUUAGGGACAGGACAUCUAUUGUCCCACAUUCCCUGCAUUUUGAUUAGUUGUAUGUCUCUGUAAUACCCUAUCUACUGCAAUAAAAGGAGCUUCAUUGGUUAGGAGUGAGAACCAUAUUUACCUAUGGGUAUAAGGAUAAGUAUUUAGAUAUAAUUAAAAACUAUAUAAGAAAAAUGACAUCAGUAGGUUUCCUCUGGGCUCUGUGACCUCUUCACACAUAGGUAAUUGGCUAGGUUUGUAGCUCCAUGCAUGAAUUCCUUCCUAUUGCGUGGGCCUUAAGUCUAAUUAGACAGCUGUUGGUCAUUCCAAGAUAUAAAUGCUACUACUGUGCUACUGGGACAUCUUCCCAGGCUGGCCAUUGUGUUUCAUUGGCUUUACAGCUGUGCUGGGCUCCUGAUUGUUUUUCUCCUUUGGCAUCUUCCGCAAAACCUUCAGAUGGUCACAUCUCAGGGAGGAGGCUUCCAGGUCACUUCCAGAUUGAUUCCUUCAACCACUGUGUCUGAAGCGAGUAGUGUCUUGAGCACUAAGAUCUUACCUUAACGGAGGGAUCUUGGGAGAUGGUAAAUCGUGUGCCCUGUGAGUUUAUAUGACCAAAACACAUGUAAGAUGUUUAGUGGAUGUGGUAGGCCACCUUUGAUCAAGCCUCAGAAGGUUGACACAACUUUCCCGUAUUAGGAUGACUAACGAGACUCUCCAUAGCUGUGGGCUGAGCUUAAUUAAAAGACCCUGCUCUGGUAAAUAAGGUGGAGGAGGGACCAACACCAACUUUGGGCAUCCAUAGUGUGUGUACACACCUCCCCCACACCCACACACAUGUAAAGUUACGCACAUAUACAUGCACAUGAAAAUAGAAAGAAAAACAGUGAUUGCAAUGCCUGAACUAAGCUAAGUAAGUAACUUCCUAACUUUACCCAAAUCAGAUGUUGCAUAAAUUUUACGGCAAAGUGAAAGUGUAGACAUUAUUUACUUCAGAUUAUCAUUUAGAUGAGAAAGCACCCACUGGUCUAUGACAAAUAAAUGAAAAUGACUUAGAAAUAGUUGCAAUUAACUUUAAUAUGAUUAAAACUGAAAACAGACAACUUGCAAAAUUUGACUAGAUAUGAAGCGAAGAAUAGAAAAAUAUAAGGCAUUUGAAAAAUGAGAAACUCAGCAAGCUUUGUGACUCAAUUAAAUCAGACCCUGAGGAAGGGAGGGAGAGAAAGAACUCACAUGAAUAGUAUACUUGACCAUUUACAGAGAACAAUUUUGUUGUGUAGACAGUGGCUUAACCUAUGCUAAAUCUUGUUUUAGCUGGAAUAAUUAUGCUGGAGUGAGUAACCCUAAGGUUCAAGUAUUACGUAUGUUUUUUAUUUUCCUCUGAACUUCAGUUUGGGGUGUGUAGACAAGAGUGGCAAGGCAGCAAUGGUAUCAGUUGCAUGGCUCGUGUGUUCACCUAGAAGGCUAGAAGUCUCUUGUAAGUCAGGCCGGCUGGGAUAAGCUAUCUCAUGGAACAUCCAGUGCUCACAUUCUGUUGGGGUUCAGGUUCCCAAGUUUUAUAUCUUGGGGGAGAUUUCCAGGAGUCAAAUUUUGUCUCAGAGUAUCCUUAUGUCAGGGGUAUAUAGUUGCAAAGACAAUUGCCUCCAUUUGUACCUGGCCUUCUCACACAGUCAGUGACCAUCUGCUUCUUUCUGCUGUUCUCCUCUCCAGGACAUGGCCACAUUUCCUUUGGCCACUUUUACCAUCUCGGCACAAGAGACUUGUGGGAAUUUGAAUGGCAAUGGCUCCUAUACACAUAGGAAAUGGUGCUAUUUGAAAAGAAUAGGAGGUGGCCCUGUUGGUGUAGGUAUGGCCUUGUUGGGGGAAGUGUGCCACUGGGGAAUGGGCUUUUAAUUUUCAAAGACCAAACCAGGCCCAGUGGUUCUCUCUGUCUUUCUGCUGCCUGUGGAUAUGAAUGUUGAACUCCCAGCUACCAUGCCUACCUGUGUGCUGCCAUGCACCCUUCCCCACCAUGAAGAUGAUAGAUGAAAGCAUUAAACCUGUAAGUAAGUGUCAGUUAAAUUAUUUAAUGUGCAAGAGUUGCCAUGGUCAUGGUGUCUCUUCACAGCAACAGAACACUACUUCAGAGAACUGAUUGCACUAGUGAAAUCUUUAUAGGACUCAUGAAGAAGAUGGAUCUACUACUUUGUGUGAAUGAAUGAUGUGCACAUAUUCGAGGAGUCACUGAACUAUUCUCAAAGCUCAGUCCUAGCAGUCAGGUAUUGAGGUGGGACACAGUGUUGAAUCAAAGCCAAAGGAUGAUGACCGUGUAACUCUCUCUCACUGUUCUGGGGGCCAGAAGCUUGGCAAUUUCAGAGAGAAAGAAAAAGAAGAAAAUCAAUCAAUCACACACACACACACACACACACACACACACACACACACACACACAUAUAUAUUCUGGCCAGGUCCAACCACCUGU
Rattus norvegicus (Norway rat) is the source of this 10354-nucleotide long non-coding RNA. RefSeq lists it as uncharacterized. NCBI's taxonomy places the organism in Eukaryota, Metazoa, Chordata, Mammalia, Rodentia, Muridae. The record is from RefSeq and is a predicted model, not a curated record.